Molecule: ribosomal RNA, 876 nt
Filed under: Triticum aestivum (bread wheat)
Lineage: Eukaryota; Viridiplantae; Streptophyta; Magnoliopsida; Poales; Poaceae
Description: partial small subunit ribosomal RNA
Source: RNAcentral
AUGGCGGCACCCCAGAGCCCACGGAUCUGGGCGACCUCGUCCUCGACCUGCACCCUGGAGAGGGCGGGGGGCGCGCACUUGUUCAGGAUCGACGGCUACAGCCUGUCCAAGGGCCUCGGCAAGGGCAACUUCCUCCCGUCGGCCACCUUCGCCGUCGGCGGCCACGACUGGCGCCUCCUCUUCUACCCCGACGGCGACACGGAGGCCAGAAACGGCUCCAUCUCGGUCCACCUCGAGCUCAUGGACGAGGGCGUGGAGGUGAGGGCGCUGUACGAUCUGACGCUAUUCAAGCAAGCCGAACCGAAGUCGGGGUGCUUCGUGUGGACAAAACCAACGGAGCCGGUGGUGUUCAGCCGCUCCCCUGGUAAAACCUCGCACCGUGGCCAUUCCAAUUUCGCGGGGAGGAGCAUGCUCGAAGCUUGGUCGUACUUGUACUUCCCCCGCGACGUCCUUAUCGUUAAGUGCAAGCUCCUUGUUAUCAAGCUGAAGGAAGCACAGAUGCCAAAAACCAGAAUGAACUUCGAGACCAUCCAAGUGCCGCCUUCAGACUUGUCGCAUAAUCUUGGAAGUUUGCUAGAGGCGGGGGAGGAAUCGGAUGUGUCUUUCAAGGUCAAAGAUGAGGUUUUCACUGCCCAUAAGAUUGUCCUCGCGAUGCGGUCGCCGGUCUUCAAGGCGGAGCUCUAUGGGCCGAUGAGGGACAAGUGCGGGCAGAGCAUAGCCAUUGAAGACAUGGAGCCCGCUGUUUUCAAAGCGCUGCUUCACUUUAUCUACACAGAUGAGUUGCCGCCCAUGGAUGACCUGAUGAUGACAGAGAAGAAAUGGUCAAGCAUUUGCUCGUGGCUUCGGAUAGGUAUGCCAUGGAAAGGAUGGAGUUGA